AGUGAACGCUGGCGGUAGGCCUAACACAUGCAAGUCGAACGGCAGCACAGUAAGAGCUUGCUCUUACGGGUGGCGAGUGGCGGACGGGUGAGGAAUACAUCGGAAUCUACUUUUUCGUGGGGGACAACGUAGGGAAACUUACGCUAAUACCGCAUACGUCCUACGGGUGAAAGCAGGGGAUCUUCGGACUUUGCGCGAUUGAAUGAGCCGAUGUCGGAUUAGCUAGUUGGCGGGGUAAAGGCCCACCAAGGCGACGAUCCGUAGCUGGUCUGAGAGGAUGAUCAGCCACACUGGAACUGAGACACGGUCCAGACUCCUACGGGAGGCAGCAGUGGGGAAUAUUGGACAAUGGGCGCAAGCCUGAUCCAGCCAUACCGCGUGAGUGAAGAAGGCCUUCGGGUUGUAAAGCCCUUUUAUUAGGAAAGAAAAGCAGCAGAUGAAUACCCCGCUGUUCUGACGGUACCCAAAGAAUAAGCACCGGCUAACUUCGUG
This 492-nucleotide ribosomal RNA is filed under the name uncultured bacterium. RNAcentral describes it as "partial 16S ribosomal RNA". It matches the Rfam family "Bacterial small subunit ribosomal RNA", at positions 29 to 507 of the family's 1533-position model. The record is from RNAcentral.